AGCAAUAGAUGGAUCUCAGAUUCGGGCAUAUAGAGAGAUGCUUCAAAGAAAUUGCUUGCAUAUUGUCUUAAUACUUUGGGAAUUAAUGCAAACAGGGAUCAGGUUGACUAUAAAAGGCCACAAGAUGGUGCAGCUAUUGACCAAUCCCUGCUUGUAGGCAAUGUCUAUGAUGAAGAUUCAGAAGAGGAGGACAUCUAUAACCCCCUAUGACUAUUACUAUCCUAGAAACCGAUGGAAGGUGAUUAUGGGAGAAGGGCUGUUCAAGGAUAUGAUAAGAGGUAGCAAAGAAUUCUCGCUCAAAGUUGAUAUUUCUAACUUCAAUGGGAUUUGAAUAUCGAGGAAUUCUUGGAUUGGAUAAUCAAUGUGGAGAGAU
RNAcentral lists this unclassified non-coding RNA (373 nucleotides) under Hevea brasiliensis (rubber tree). The record is from RNAcentral. Lineage: Eukaryota; Viridiplantae; Streptophyta; Magnoliopsida; Malpighiales; Euphorbiaceae.